CUUAAAAUCCAAAGUUUUCUCUGCAUGGAUGAUAAAGACCAUGAGACACAUUUUGUAAUAGCAGACAGUUUGGCCUCUUGCCUUGGCUAACAGUUCUUCUCUACCUUAUGUUGUGUGGAUUGGCACAUGCUAGUUGUCCACUUGGCUGCUGCCUCUAUCUUCAGAGAUAGCUUCUCUUCAGUGAUGCUGUAAGCAUACGCAGCACAUGAGAUCCUUCCAAGCCAGAGGAAGUGUUUAGAAACAAGGGCACUUUUUCAAAAGGUGACCAGCUCACACCUGCAGGAUAAUUCCCUGAAAGCAGAGGCUAACAGAAGCCACAGGACAAAGCUACCAGCCACCACUACUCCUAGCAGAGGCUGGAGAAUCACUAUCCUGCCACCAUUGCUUCUUCUGUGAGGAACAGCUGCCAGGAAGUGGAGACACCUAGAAAAGUCCUCAGAAGCUUCUGGGAAGGGGGAAACGUGAUGGAUCAAGAAGGAGAUUUAGCUCCCCACUGUUACUGAGAUGGUCCUUACACCCCCUUUGCUGAGAUGACAAUCUCGUCUACCUUCCCCUGCAUCUGUCAAAGAAGAUUAUUAGGUUCACUGAAGCCAGAUAAAGCUUCAUCUCUGGUAGCAAGAUAACCCUCAGUAAAGCAGACUGGGCUGAAGAAAACGACAUGCAGGUUGGAGGUGGAUUAAGCUCUCUAAAUAGAGGAGUGCAAUUGUUGUUUGAUUUGGAUGUGCACACAGGAGAGGUGACUGUGUCUCAAAUGUCUGAACAUCUAAGCCACUUCCAGGACUCUAACUUCCUGAAGUUAAUAAUAGGGGACCCAGGACAUUGGCU
Molecule: long non-coding RNA, 825 nt
Organism: Mauremys reevesii (Reeves's turtle)
Lineage: Eukaryota; Metazoa; Chordata; Testudines; Geoemydidae
Exons: 5
Source: RefSeq, a predicted model, not a curated record